UCGUAACAAGGUUUCCGUAGGUGAACCUGCGGAAGGAUCAUUACCGAGUGAGGGCCCUCUGGGUCCAACCUCCCACCCGUGUUUUCCGAACCCUGUUGCUUCGGCGGGCCCGCCUCACGGCCGCCGGGGGGCUUCCGCCCCCGGGCCCGCGCCCGCCGAAGACACCUGUGAACGCUGUCUGAAGUUGCAGUCUGAGAAACUAGCUAAAUUAGUUAAAACUUUCAACAACGGAUCUCUUGGUUCCGGCAUCGAUGAAGAACGCAGCGAAAUGCGAUAACUAAUGUGAAUUGCAGAAUUCAGUGAAUCAUCGAGUCUUUGAACGCACAUUGCGCCCUCUGGUAUUCCGGAGGGCAUGCCUGUCCGAGCGUCAUUGCUGCCCUCAAGCACGGCUUGUGUGUUGGGCCCCCGCCCCCCCGCGCUGGGGGGGCGGGCCCGAAAGGCAGCGGCGGCACCGCGUCCGGUCCUCGAGCGUAUGGGGCUUCGUCACCCGCUCUUGUAGGCCCGGCCGGCGCCAGCCGACCCCCCUCAAUCUAUUUUUUCAGGUUGACCUCGGAUCAGGUAGGGAUACCCGCUGAACUUAAGCAUAUCA
RNAcentral lists this unclassified non-coding RNA (589 nucleotides) under Penicillium copticola. RNAcentral describes it as "sequence contains 18S rRNA gene, ITS1, 5.8S rRNA gene, ITS2, 28S rRNA gene". The stretch from base 217 to 370 matches the Rfam family "5.8S ribosomal RNA". Lineage: Eukaryota; Fungi; Ascomycota; Eurotiomycetes; Eurotiales; Aspergillaceae. The record is from RNAcentral.